AGGACGAACGCUGGCGGCGUGCUUAACACAUGCAAGUCGAGCGGUGAUCCUCCUUCGGGAGGUGAUCAGCGGCGAACGGGUGAGUAACACGUGGGCAACCUGCCCCUCACACUGGGAUAACCUCGGGAAACCGGGGCUAAUACCGGAUACGACCUCGAGCGGCAUCUCUUGAGGUGGGAAGCUCCGACGGUGAGGGAUGGGCCCGCGGCCUAUCAGCUUGUUGGUGGGGUAAUGGCCUACCAAGGCGACGACGGGUAGCCGGCCUGAGAGGGCGACCGGCCACACUGGGACUGAGACACGGCCCAGACUCCUACGGGAGGCAGCAGUGGGGAAUAUUGCGCAAUGGGCGAAAGCCUGACGCAGCGACGCCGCGUGAGGGAUGAAGGCCUUCGGGUUGUAAACCUCUUUCAGCAGGGACGAAGCGAAAGUGACGGUACCUGCAGAAGAAGCACCGGCUAACUACGCGCCAGCAGCCGCGGUAA
RNAcentral lists this ribosomal RNA (482 nucleotides) under uncultured bacterium. RNAcentral's name for it is "SSU rRNA". It matches the Rfam family "Bacterial small subunit ribosomal RNA", at positions 26 to 523 of the family's 1533-position model. The record is from RNAcentral.